Molecule: ribosomal RNA, 1154 nt
Filed under: bacterium
Lineage: Bacteria
Description: bacterial SSU rRNA
Rfam family: Bacterial small subunit ribosomal RNA
Source: RNAcentral
UGCAGUCGAGCGGACCGACGGGAGCUUGCUCCCUUAGGUCAGCGGCGGACGGGUGAGUAACACGUGGGUAACCUGCCUGUAAGACUGGGAUAACUCCGGGAAACCGGGGCUAAUACCGGAUGCUUGAUUGAACCGCAUGGUUCAAUCAUAAAAGGUGGCUUUUAGCUACCACUUACAGAUGGACCCGCGGCGCAUUAGCUAGUUGGUGAGGUAACGGCUCACCAAGGCGACGAUGCGUAGCCGACCUGAGAGGGUGAUCGGCCACACUGGGACUGAGACACGGCCCAGACUCCUACGGGAGGCAGCAGUAGGGAAUCUUCCGCAAUGGACGAAAGUCUGACGGAGCAACGCCGCGUGAGUGAUGAAGGUUUUCGGAUCGUAAAACUCUGUUGUUAGGGAAGAACAAGUACCGUUCGAAUAGGGCGGUACCUUGACGGUACCUAACCAGAAAGCCACGGCUAACUACGUGCCAGCAGCCGCGGUAAUACGUAGGUGGCAAGCGUUGUCCGGAAUUAUUGGGCGUAAAGCGCGCGCAGGCGGUUUCUUAAGUCUGAUGUGAAAGCCCCCGGCUCAACCGGGGAGGGUCAUUGGAAACUGGGGAACUUGAGUGCAGAAGAGGAGAGUGGAAUUCCACGUGUAGCGGUGAAAUGCGUAGAGAUGUGGAGGAACACCAGUGGCGAAGGCGACUCUCUGGUCUGUAACUGACGCUGAGGCGCGAAAGCGUGGGGAGCGAACAGGAUUAGAUACCCUGGUAGUCCACGCCGUAAACGAUGAGUGCUAAGUGUUAGAGGGUUUCCGCCCUUUAGUGCUGCAGCAAACGCAUUAAGCACUCCGCCUGGGGAGUACGGUCGCAAGACUGAAACUCAAAGGAAUUGACGGGGGCCCGCACAAGCGGUGGAGCAUGUGGUUUAAUUCGAAGCAACGCGAAGAACCUUACCAGGUCUUGACAUCCUCUGACAACCCUAGAGAUAGGGCUUCCCCUUCGGGGGCAGAGUGACAGGUGGUGCAUGGUUGUCGUCAGCUCGUGUCGUGAGAUGUUGGGUUAAGUCCCGCAACGAGCGCAACCCUUGAUCUUAGUUGCCAGCAUUCAGUUGGGCACUCUAAGGUGACUGCCGGUGACAAACCGGAGGAAGGUGGGGAUGACGUCAAAUCAU